GCGGGCAUAGCACAGUGGUAGUGCAGCGGCCUUCCAAGCCGCCUACACGGGUUCGAGCCCCGUUGCCCGCUCCA
This 74-nucleotide transfer RNA is filed under the name Candidatus Omnitrophota bacterium. RNAcentral describes it as "Candidatus Omnitrophica bacterium tRNA-Gly". It matches the Rfam family "tRNA". From Rfam's summary of the family: Transfer RNA (tRNA) molecules are approximately 80 nucleotides in length. Their secondary structure includes four short double-helical elements and three loops (D, anti-codon, and T loops). The record is from RNAcentral. Lineage: Bacteria; Pseudomonadati; Candidatus Omnitrophota.